AGGACGAACGCUGGCGGCGUGCUUAACACAUGCAAGUCGAGCGGAAAGGCCCUUCGGGGUACGUCGAGCGGCGAACGGGUGAGUAACACGUGAGCAACCUGCCCUUAGCUCUGGGAUAGCUCCGGGAAACCGGAAAUUAAUACCGGAUAUUACACCGGCUGGCAUCGGCUGGUGUGGAAAGAUUUAUCGGCUAAGGAUGGACUCGCGGCCUAUCAGCUUGUUGGUGGGGUAGAAGCCUACCAAGGCGACGACGGGUA
Molecule: ribosomal RNA, 257 nt
Filed under: uncultured bacterium
Lineage: Bacteria
Description: partial small subunit ribosomal RNA
Rfam family: Bacterial small subunit ribosomal RNA
Source: RNAcentral